CAACUUUCAGCAACGGAUCUCUUGGCUCUCGCAUCGAUGAAGAACGCAGCGA
Molecule: ribosomal RNA, 52 nt
Filed under: Gastroboletus turbinatus
Lineage: Eukaryota; Fungi; Basidiomycota; Agaricomycetes; Boletales; Boletaceae
Description: partial 5.8S ribosomal RNA
Rfam family: 5.8S ribosomal RNA
About the family: 5.8S ribosomal RNA (5.8S rRNA) is a component of the large subunit of the eukaryotic ribosome. It is transcribed by RNA polymerase I as part of the 45S precursor that also contains 18S and 28S rRNA.
Source: RNAcentral